Molecule: long non-coding RNA, 402 nt
Filed under: Salvia miltiorrhiza (redroot sage)
Lineage: Eukaryota; Viridiplantae; Streptophyta; Magnoliopsida; Lamiales; Lamiaceae
Description: long non-coding RNA (SMIL_LNC003013)
Source: RNAcentral
GAGCUUCUGGUGGCGCGGAUUUCCGACGCCGAGAGAGAUGGUGGAGGUGGCGGCGGCGGCGGCGGCGGCGGCGGAGGAUGCUACGAGGGAGAGGUGGUGGCGGUAGUGAGAUAGAGAGAGAGUGACGUGAAGGUGAAGAGAGAGAGAGGAGAGAGGGAUAGAAGUGAGUGGAUAUUUUUUAUUAUUUUAAAGUGAGGGUUAUUUCCGUCUUUUUAAUCAAAAAGUGGACAUUUUUUAUUAUUUUUAUCUUAGUGGACAAUUUUUAUCUUUACAAUAUGAAAGUGGAUAGUUUUAUAUAUUUACUCUUUACUAAUUGUCAUCAUUUCUUUUAUGAUAUCACUUUCGUCCUCUACGACUAGGAUUUCAUGCUGAUGUGAAUCCAAUGAAUAUGAAACAUUGAAU